UCUGACGGAGCACGCCGCGUGAGCGAAGAAGGUCUUCGGAUCGUAAAGCUCUGUUGUGAGGGAAGAACAAGUACCGGUUUAAUUGCCGGUACCUUGACGGUACCUUACCAGAAAGCCACGGCUAACUACGUGCCAGCAGCCGCGGUAAUACGUAGGUGGCAAGCGUUGUCCGGAAUUAUUGGGCGUAAAGCGCGCGCAGGCGGUCCUUUAAGUCUGAUGUGAAAGCCCACGGCUCAACCGUGGAGGGUCAUUGGAAACUGGGGGACUUGAGUGCAGAAGAGGAAAGCGGAAUUCCACGUGUAGCGGUGAAAUGCGUAGAGAUGUGGAGGAACACCAGUGGCGAAGGCGGCUUUCUGGUCUGUAACUGACGCUGAGGCGCGAAAGCGUGGGGAGCAAACAGGAUUAGAUACCCUGGUAGUCCACGCCGUAAACGAUGAGUGCUAAGUGUUAGGGGGUUUCCGCCCCUUAGUGCUGCAGCUAACGCAUAAGCACUCCGCC
RNAcentral lists this ribosomal RNA (498 nucleotides) under uncultured bacterium. RNAcentral describes it as "bacterial SSU rRNA". It matches the Rfam family "Bacterial small subunit ribosomal RNA", at positions 382 to 873 of the family's 1533-position model. The record is from RNAcentral.